UGAACGCUGGCGGUAUGCUUAACACAUGCAAGUCGAACGGAAACGAUACUAGCUUGCUAGUAGGCGUCGAGUGGCGGACGGGUGAGUAACGCGUAGGAAUCUGCCUGAUAGUGGGGGAUAGCCCGAAGAAAUUCGGAUUAAUACCGCAUAAUCUAUUCGUAGUAAAGUGGGGGACUUUCGAGCCUCACGCUAUCAGAUGAGCCUGCGUAAGAUUAGCUAGUUGGUAGGGUAAAAGCCUACCAAGGCGACGAUCUUUAGCUGGUCUGAGAGGAUGAUCAGCCACAUCGGGACUGAGACACGGCCCGAACUCCUACGGGAGGCAGCAGUGGGGAAUAUUGGACAAUGGGGGCAACCCUGAUCCAGCAAUACCGCGUGUGUGAAGAAGGCCUGAGGGUUGUAAAGCACUUUCAAUUGUGAAGAAAAGCUAGUGGUUAAUAGCCAUUAGCCUUGACGUUAACUUUAGAAGAAGCACCGGCUAACUCCGUGCCAGCAGCCGCGGUAAUACGGAGGGUGCAAGCGUUAAUCGGAAUUACUGGGCGUAAAGCGUGCGUAAGCGGUUUAUUAAGUCAGAUGUGAAAGCCCCGGGCUUAACCUGGGAACUGCAUUUGAAACUGGUCAACUAGAGUAUGGUAGACGAAAGUGGAAUUUCUGGUGUAGCAGUGAAAUGCGUAGAUAUCAGAACGAACAUCAAUGGCGAAGGCAACUUUCUGGACCAAUACUGACGCUGAGGUACGAAAGCGUGGGUAGCAAACAGGAUUAGAUACCUUGGUAGUCCACGCCGUAAACGAUGAUAACUAGCCGUUGGGGGGGAUUUACCCUUUAGUGGCGAAGUUAACGCGUUAAGUUAUCCGCUUGUGGAGUACGGCCGCAAGGUUAAAACUCAAAGGAAUUGACGGGGACCCGCACAAGCGGUGGAGCAUGUGGUUUAAUUCGAUGCAACGCGAAGAACCUUACCUGGUCUUGACAUCCUGCGAACUUUCUAGAAAUAGAUUGGUGCCUUCGGGAACGCAGUGACAGGUGCUGCAUGGCUGUCGUCAGCUCGUGUCGUGAGAUGUUGGGUUAAGUCCCGUAACGAGCGCAACCCCUAUCCUUAUUUGCCAGCACAUCAUGGUGGGAACUAUAAGGAGACUGCCGGUGAUAAACCGGAGGAAGGCGGGGACGACGUCAAGUCAUCAUGGCCCUUACGACCAGGGCUACACACGUGCUACAAUGGGAAGGACAAAGAGCCGCGAAGCCGCGAGGUGUAGCUAAUCUCAGAAACCUUUUCGUAGUCCGGAUUGGAGUCUGCAACCCGACUCCAUGAAGUCGGAAUCGCUAGUAAUCGUAGAUCAGAAUGCUACGGUGAAUACGUUCCCGGGUCUUGUACACACCG
Molecule: ribosomal RNA, 1372 nt
Filed under: uncultured Pseudomonadota bacterium
Lineage: Bacteria; Pseudomonadati; Pseudomonadota
Description: uncultured proteobacterium 16S ribosomal RNA
Rfam family: Bacterial small subunit ribosomal RNA
Source: RNAcentral